This 253-nucleotide ribosomal RNA is filed under the name uncultured bacterium. RNAcentral's name for it is "partial 16S ribosomal RNA". It matches the Rfam family "Bacterial small subunit ribosomal RNA", at positions 524 to 776 of the family's 1533-position model. The record is from RNAcentral.
UACGGAGGGUGCUAGCGUUGUUCGGAAUUACUGGGCGUAAAGGGCGUGUAGGCGGUCCGUUAUGUCUGAUGUGAAAGCCCGGGGCUCACCCCCGGAAGUGCAUUGGAAACUGACGGACUCGAGUCCCGGAGAGGAGGGUGGAAUUCCUGGUGUAGCGGUGAAAUGCGUGGAUAUCAGGAGGAACAUCGGAGGCGAAGGCGGCCCUCUGGACGGUGACUGGCGCUGAGACGCGAAAGCGUGGGGAGCAAACAGG